CCUACGGGUGGCAGCAGUGGGGAAGAUUGGGCAAUGGGCGCAAGCCUGACCCAGCAACGCCGCGUGAAGGAAGAAGGCUUGCGGGGUGGAAACUUCGUUUAAGAGGGAAGAGCAGAAGACGGGACCUCUGGAAUAAGCCACGGCUAACGACGUGCCAGCAGCCGGGGGAAUACGUAGGUGGCAAGCGUUGUCCGGAUUUACUGGGUGGAAAGGGCGUGCAGCCGGGAAGAAAAGUCAGCUGGGACAUCCCGCGGCUCAACCGCGGAACUGACUUUGAAACUGUUUUUCUUGAGUACCGGAGAGGUCAUCGGAAUUCCUUGUGUAGCUGUGAAAUGCGUCGAUAUC
Molecule: ribosomal RNA, 345 nt
Filed under: uncultured bacterium
Lineage: Bacteria
Description: partial 16S ribosomal RNA
Rfam family: Bacterial small subunit ribosomal RNA
Source: RNAcentral